ACGGUUUCGGGAGAGCGACCCGAGGGCCGGCAGAACCCUGUUUCCCGCGAGAGCGAUCGUGGGAAACACUGUUCUGCGAUUUUGAAAUCCGAAAAGAAUCGGUGUGUUAUCCACAUUUCUCUGUGUAGGGACGAACUUGAUUUGGCAGGCACCGCAUCGCUCGGGAAGAGCAAGCUCUUCUCGCGGUUUCUGUAGUCC
RNAcentral lists this small RNA (198 nucleotides) under marine eukaryotic metagenome. RNAcentral's name for it is "Cyano-2 RNA". It matches the Rfam family "Cyano-2 RNA". The record is from RNAcentral.